UACGUAGGGUGCAAGCGUUGUCCGGAAUUAUUGGGCGUAAAGAGCUCGUAGGCGGUCUGUCGCGUCGGCUGUGAAAUCCCGAGGCUCAACCUCGGGUCUGCAGUCGAUACGGGCAAACUAGAGUAUUGCAGGGGAGACUGGAAUUCCUGGUGUAGCGGUGAAAUGCGCAGAUAUCAGGAGGAACACCGGUGGCGAAGGCGGGUCUCUGGGCAAUAACUGACGCUGAGGAGCGAAAGCUAGGGGAGCAAACAGG
RNAcentral lists this ribosomal RNA (253 nucleotides) under uncultured bacterium. RNAcentral's name for it is "partial 16S ribosomal RNA". It matches the Rfam family "Bacterial small subunit ribosomal RNA", at positions 524 to 776 of the family's 1533-position model. The record is from RNAcentral.